GCCAAUAUCACUCCCCAGUAUUCCCCCUUUCCCUCUCUUCCUCCUUCCUCCUGGUCCUUUCCCCCUACUCUACCGAUCUCUCUUUAAUUUUCAUAAGAUUGCUGUCUACCUUUCUUUUCCUUUUUUUCUCUCUGGCUUUCACAUAUGAGAGAAAAUAUAACCCUUGACUUUCUGAGUUUGGCUUAUUUAAUGUAACAUAAUGCUGUCAAUUCCACCCAUUUUUCUGCAAAUGACGUAAUUUCAUUCUUCUUUAUGGCUGAGUAAAACUCCUUUGUGUGUACAUGUGUGUGUGUGUAUAUAUAUAUAUGUGCCUAUAUACAUAUGUGUGUAUAUAUACAUGUGCAUAUAUAUAUGUGUGUGUGUGUAUAUAUAUAUGACAUUUUCUUAAUCUGUCUUUCAUUGUUGGACAUCUAGGCUGGUUCCAUAAUUUGGCUAUUGUGAAUUGUGCUGCUAUAAACAUGAAUAUGCGUGUAUCAGUGUAGUAUGAUGACUUUAAUUCUUUUUUUUAAUUUAUUUUUUAGUUGUAGUUGGACACAAUACCUUUAUUUUAUUUAUUUAUUUUUAUGUGGUGCUGAGGAUCGAACCCAGGUCCUUGCAUGUGCUAGGCCAACGCUCUACCGCUGAGCCACAACCCCAGCCCUGAUGACUUUAAUUCUUUAGAACUAAGUGGUAUAGUUGGGUCAUAUGGUGGUUUCAUCCCUGGUCUUUUGAUGAGCCUCCAUACCAAUUUCCAUAGUGGUGCAUGAAUUUAAAGUCCUACUAACAGUAUAAAAGUGUUCCUUGUUCUCCACAUCUUCUUCACAUGAUCCCACUUAUAUUAUACAAAAUUUGUAUUUUUCUGUGUGUAUCAAAACAUCUGGAAGAAUAUAUCUGAAAUAAUAAGAUUAUCUCUAGAUAUCAGGCUGGUUUCUAUUUCUUCUUUUUUAC
Molecule: long non-coding RNA, 927 nt
Filed under: Marmota monax (woodchuck)
Lineage: Eukaryota; Metazoa; Chordata; Mammalia; Rodentia; Sciuridae
Source: RNAcentral